Molecule: transfer RNA, 77 nt
Filed under: Acetobacteraceae bacterium
Lineage: Bacteria; Pseudomonadati; Pseudomonadota; Alphaproteobacteria; Acetobacterales; Acetobacteraceae
Also listed under: 1 other name
Description: tRNA-Arg
Rfam family: tRNA
About the family: Transfer RNA (tRNA) molecules are approximately 80 nucleotides in length.
Source: RNAcentral
GCGCCCUUAGCUCAGCAGGAUAGAGCAACAGCCUUCUAAGCUGUGGGUCGGUGGUUCGAAUCCACCAGGGCGCACCA